ACAUACGGGGCUUUAUGUCUUGUAUUGGAAUGAUGGGAAUUUAAACCUCUUCCAGAGUAUCAAUUGGAGGGCAAGUCUGGUGCCAGCAGCCGCGGUAAUUCCAGCUCCAAUAGCGUAUAUUAAAAUUGUUGCAGUUAAAAAGCUCGUAGUUGAAUUUCUGCUGCAUUGCAUUUUCUCCUAUACGAGUUUUUGCAUUGUGGCUUAUUUCGGUUAUAAAAUUUAUUUUUAUUUCCGGAUGUUUACUUUGAGAAAAUUAGAGUGCUCAAAGCAGGCUUUUGCCUUGAAUAGUUUAGCAUGGAAUAAUAAAGUAGGACUUUGGUUCUAUUUUGUUGGUUUUAGGUACCAAAGUAAUGGUUAAUAGGAACAGUUGGGGGCAUU
Molecule: ribosomal RNA, 378 nt
Filed under: Theileria capreoli
Lineage: Eukaryota; Apicomplexa; Aconoidasida; Piroplasmida; Theileriidae
Description: SSU rRNA
Rfam family: Eukaryotic small subunit ribosomal RNA
Source: RNAcentral